UACGAAGGGGGCUAGCGUUGCUCGGAAUUACUGGGCGUAAAGCGCACGUAGGCGGCUUCUUAAGUCGGUGGUGAAAUCCUGGAGCUCAACUCCAGAACUGCCUUCGAUACUGGGAAGCUCGAGUCCGGGAGAGGUGAGUGGAACUGCGAGUGUAGAGGUGAAAUUCGUAGAUAUUCGCAAGAACACCAGUGGCGAAGGCGGCUCACUGGCCCGGUACUGACGCUGAGGUGCGAAGGCGUGGGGAGCAAACAGG
Molecule: ribosomal RNA, 253 nt
Filed under: uncultured bacterium
Lineage: Bacteria
Description: partial 16S ribosomal RNA
Rfam family: Bacterial small subunit ribosomal RNA
Source: RNAcentral